AUUGAACGCUGGCGGCAUGCUUUACACAUGCAAGUCGUACGGGGUAGCCGGGCAACUGGCUGUCUAGUGGCGAACGGGUGAGUAAUCGAUCGGAACGUAUCCGGGCGUGGGGGAUAACUACUCGAAAGAGUAGCUAAUACCGCAUAUGCUCUGAGGAGGAAAGCGGGGGACCUUCGGGCCUCGCGCGCGCGGAGCGGCCGAUCGCCGAUUAGCUAGUAGGUGAGGAAUGGCUCACCUAGGCCACGAUCGGUAGCGGGUCUGAGAGGAUGAUCCGCCACACUGGGACUGAGAUACGGCCCAGACUCCUACGGGAGGCAGCAGUGGGGAAUUUUGGACAAUGGGCGCAAGCCUGAUCCAGCCAGGCCGCGUGAGUGAAGAAGG
This 381-nucleotide ribosomal RNA is filed under the name uncultured bacterium. RNAcentral describes it as "bacterial SSU rRNA". It matches the Rfam family "Bacterial small subunit ribosomal RNA", at positions 28 to 414 of the family's 1533-position model. The record is from RNAcentral.